GAUGAACGCUGGCGGCGUGCCUAAUACAUGCAAGUCGAGCGAACAGACGAGGAGCUUGCUCCUCUGACGUUAGCGGCGGGCGGGUGAGUAACACGUGGAUAACCUACCUAUAAGACUGGGAUAACUUCGGGAAACCGGAGCUAAUACCGGAUAACAUGUUGAACCGCAUGGUUCAACAGUGAAAGACGGUUUUGCUGUCACUUAUAGAUGGAUCCGCGUCGCAUUAGCUAGUUGGUAAGGUAACGGCUUACCAAGGCAACGAUGCGUAGCCGACCUGAGAGGGUGAUCGGCCACACUGGAACUGAGACACGGUCCAGACUCCUACGGGAGGCAGCAGUAGGGAAUCUUCCGCAAAGGGCGAAAGCCUGACGGAGCAACGCCGCGUGAGUGAAGAAGGUCUUCGGAUCGUAAAACUCUGUUAUUAGGGAAGAACAAAUGUGUAAGUAACUAUGCACGUCUUGACGGUACCUAAUCAGAAAGCCACGGCUAACUACGUG
RNAcentral lists this ribosomal RNA (497 nucleotides) under uncultured bacterium. RNAcentral describes it as "partial 16S ribosomal RNA". It matches the Rfam family "Bacterial small subunit ribosomal RNA", at positions 28 to 507 of the family's 1533-position model. The record is from RNAcentral.